RNAcentral lists this non-coding RNA (30 nucleotides) under Paenilisteria weihenstephanensis FSL R9-0317. Lineage: Bacteria; Bacillati; Bacillota; Bacilli; Caryophanales; Listeriaceae. The record is from RNAcentral.
CUCUGUUUCAGAUGAUUCAGGGCCAAGGAG